UUUAGGAAAACAUGGUACACAUAAAUUGCUAGACAAAGAGAAUCUCUUGUAUAUAUCAAGAGAUCUUACAAGUUACUAAAUCAAACUGAGACUCUCAUACAAUUGACAGGAAAUAACAGUACCCAUCCUUUUAUUUAAUUAAACAUAACAUAAGAGACAAACAUGGCAUGCACUUAACCAGUGUAGUCAGGAUUUCUUCCAUAUUGAGGGACCACAAGAAAAUCAAGAUUGUUGUUACUUUCAUCGACCGUAAUAAUUAAACCCCACAAGGGGUCCGGAAACCCCUCCGACCAAUCGUUAUGACCUGAAAAAAUCAUAUUAUAAAACUUAAUCACAGUUGCACAUAUUAAAAUAAGAAUUAUAAACGAUAUUUAAUUGAAAAUGCAUGGCCUAUAUUUAUACCCGCGCAAGGAGUUCCCAUAAUCUUCAAAUCAGGAAGGCAAAAGAUUUAUGCUGGCUUGGACUGAACCGUAUUCAAAACUCAAAAGAAAAGAAGUUGUGCUUGAGCGAGUUCUUAUUUCAGAUUGAUAUGAUAUAUAUAGAUCAAGUAGCCGACACUACGGUGCCAACG
Molecule: long non-coding RNA, 571 nt
Filed under: Citrus maxima (pomelo)
Lineage: Eukaryota; Viridiplantae; Streptophyta; Magnoliopsida; Sapindales; Rutaceae
Description: long non-coding RNA (CMAX_LNC004138)
Source: RNAcentral